UGGCUCUGGCAUCGAUGAAGAACGCAGCGAAAUGCGAUACGUAAUGUGAAUUGCAGAAUCCAGUGAAUCAUCGAAUCUUUGAACGCACAUUGCGCCCGCCAGUACUCUGGCGGGCAUGCCUGUCCGAGCGUCAUUUCAACCCUCAAGCCCCCGGGCUUGGUGCUGGGGAUCGGCGAACGUCGCCGUCCCCCAAACCCAGUGGCGGUCCCGCCGAGCUUCCUCUGCGUAGUAGCAACACCUCGCACCGGAGCGCUCGCGGUCCCACGCCGUGAAACACCCCACUUCUGAACGUUGACCUCGGAUCAGGUAGGACUACCCGCUGA
RNAcentral lists this unclassified non-coding RNA (323 nucleotides) under uncultured fungus. RNAcentral describes it as "partial contains 5.8S ribosomal RNA and internal transcribed spacer 2". The stretch from base 1 to 133 matches the Rfam family "5.8S ribosomal RNA", at positions 22 to 154 of the family's 154-position model. The record is from RNAcentral. Lineage: Eukaryota; Fungi.